RNAcentral lists this ribosomal RNA (177 nucleotides) under Porticoccus sp. RNAcentral's name for it is "partial 16S ribosomal RNA". It matches the Rfam family "Bacterial small subunit ribosomal RNA", at positions 1 to 175 of the family's 1533-position model. Lineage: Bacteria; Pseudomonadati; Pseudomonadota; Gammaproteobacteria; Cellvibrionales; Porticoccaceae. The record is from RNAcentral.
AUUGAACUGAAGAGUUUGAUCAUGGCUCAGAUUGAACGCUGGCGGCAGGCCUUACACAUGCAAGUCGAGCGAGAAAUUUUCUUCGGGAAAGAGUAAAGCGGCGGACGGGUGAGUAACGCGUAGGAAUCUACCUAGUAGAAGGGGAUAGCCCGGGGAAACUCGGAUUAAUACCGUAUA